Molecule: small RNA, 30 nt
Filed under: Bombyx mori (domestic silkworm)
Lineage: Eukaryota; Metazoa; Arthropoda; Insecta; Lepidoptera; Bombycidae
Description: ovarian small RNA-2947
Source: RNAcentral
UACCAGGGUGAAUCCAUCCGUCGAUGAGGC